Molecule: long non-coding RNA, 2255 nt
Filed under: Marmota monax (woodchuck)
Lineage: Eukaryota; Metazoa; Chordata; Mammalia; Rodentia; Sciuridae
Source: RNAcentral
AGUGACGGGGGCUUUGCCUGAUCUGCCUCAGGUACCUACCCGAAGUGAUGGGUGACGGCCUGGCCAACCAGAUCAACAACCCCGAGGUGGAGGUGGACAUCACCAAGCCAGACAUGACCAUCCGGCAGCAGAUCAUGCAGCUGAAGAUCAUGACCAACCGGCUGCGUGGGGCCUACAGUGGCAGUGACGUGGACUUCCAGGACGCCAGUGAGGGUCCCGGCCCUGACGGUGGGGCUGGGCGCUGAUAACCAGGGGUCCCAAGGGCUGUGAGGGUCUGCUGCUGGGCGGGGACACCACGCCUGUGUCCCUGCAGCGGCUGAGGCCCGGCAAACCCAGGAGGGCCAGUAGCACUGGACCACAGCAGUCACACUGGACCUGGGCCACACAGAGAGCCAUCGGGUCCCUGGACACGGGGUCUCUGGGUAGGGGCAGCUGCUGGAGUCCCCUCUCCUCCCCAGGUGAUGACGGCAGUGGCUCAGGCAGCGGCGGUGGCUGCCCUGACGUCAUCUGCGGCCGGAGGGUCAGCAAGAAAAGCUCCAGCUCCCGCACGCCCUUGACCCACGCCCUCCCCGGCCUGUCCGAGCGAGAGGGGCAGAAGACCUCGGCCGCUGGCCGCCCCCAGCCCCGUGCCCUGCUCCUGCUCCUGCUCCUGCUCCUGGUUCUCGCGGCAGCCAGGCCCCGGUGGCGGUAACUGCCACGGCCCAGGGACGAGGCCAAGGACAGACUUUGCCAAAACGCAAAACAGGAUAUUUAAUUCCCCUUGGCCUGCAGAGGCCCAGGGUAGGACGAGGGGACAGUGGCUCUGUGUGCUGGGCAGGGUGCGUGGGGCCCCAGCACCCAGGCCUGGCCUCACCUGCCACCCUGGCUUUUAAUUUUGUAUGAGGUCCUCAGGUCAGCUGGGAGCCAGUGUCCCCAAAAGCCAUGUAUUUCAGGGACCUCAGGGACAUCUCUGGCUGCCCGUACCCCCCCACCCCUCCCAAGGCCCAUGGAGGAGGUGACCCUUAGCAACGUCCCGCUGGAGACCUCGAGCGAGCCUGUGCCUUCCUCGCUGCCUUCUGCCGGGGACUCUCUGCUGGACCUCCCUGGCUUCACAUCAGCAAGGCCCACCCCUCCGCACCCCCAGGGUGUCGGGGGCCCCUGACCAUGCUCUGGCAGGGCCUCUGAGCUUAUGCAUGAUGCCUCCCACCCAGUGGGGCUCUGAAGCCAGGGCCCACUCUCCCUGUGUCGCCUCAGAGUCCCAGUGGACGCAGUCCACCCUUGGGGCCGUGCCAGCACAGCCAUACCCCGGCUCUGCUAUGUUGACCUUUUGCUUGUGGGUGGGGUGCUGUCCCCACCACCCAGGGAAGCAGAGGGCCUGCCCCUCACUUGUGCUCACAUACACAGGCCUUCUGGGGCCAGGUCUGCAAGAGGAACCCCACUUCUGGGGAGUAGCCAGCCAUUCCUACCCCACCCCACCCAGACAGGAUGGCCCUGGGGCUGCGGGCCAGGGCAUAGCCUGACAGUCGAGGGCUUCUCCAGCACAUGCACAUUCAAACACUUCUUUCCCUGCCCCGAGACCUGCACCUCAGUCCUCCUGAAGCAUUGGAGGUCCUGGAGCCCAGCUUGGACCCUGGGGCCCUUCAGUGGCCCUGGACUGAGUGUGCCCAGCUCACUGAGGGCAUCGGGCCCUCGGGCAUGGGCAAGUCCUCCCCGUCUCCAGGCCCAGAAGCCAGCAAGCCCUGGAGCAGGGACUGGCGUCCUAUAAGAGGGGCCCCUGCACGGCGAAGGACGACAGGGGGCAGACACCGAGUUGCCACAGCCAGGGACAGUCGUUCCGACCCACACGGGCCUUGAGAAGGUCACUCAGUGCUUCUUUGAUCUCUGCUGCUGGGCCGGGGGGUCUUCCCACCUGCACAGUGGGGGAGGCUGUGGGUGCUGGUCCAGCCCCUUGGCACAGGGUGGGAGACUCAAGCUGGUCCUUGGACGUGUUGGGUCAGGCCCUUGGGACCCCUGCCCUGUAAGAGCCCCGUAAGUGCCAUGCAGGCUGAGGUGGCUGGAGCCGACCCAAGCCCCGGGACAGAGGACCCAGUCCUGGGAGGCAGCAGUGACACUGCCCGUGAUGGCCAGGGGUGACACCCCGCACUACCCCACAUGCUUCUCUGGAAGGGGCAACCCUGAGCAGCCACUGGUCAGGGCAGUGGCCCAGCCUGCUGUGUCCUUCCUCAUGAGGCCCCUGGUCACUCAGUGCCAGCAGGUCGCCAGGUCACAUGUGUCGA